This 273-nucleotide ribosomal RNA is filed under the name uncultured bacterium. Its description in RNAcentral is "partial 16S ribosomal RNA". It matches the Rfam family "Bacterial small subunit ribosomal RNA", at positions 524 to 796 of the family's 1533-position model. The record is from RNAcentral.
GACAGAGGUGCCAAGCGUUAGGCGGAAUCACUGGGCUUAAAGCGUGUGUAGGCGGAGCGUUAAGUGCCUUGUGAAAUCCCCCGGCUCAACCGGGGAACUGCUGGGCAUACUGGCGUUCUUGAGCCAAUCAGGGGUCGUCGGAACAAACGGUGGAGCGGUGAAAUGCGUAGAUAUCGUUUGGAACGCCGAAGGCGAAAGCAGACGACUGGGAUUGGGCUGACGCUGAGACACGAAAGCCAGGGGAGCAAACGGGAUUAGAAACCCCCGUAGUCC